AACGAACGCUGGCGGCAGGCUUAACACAUGCAAGUCGAACGCCCCGCAAGGGGAGUGGCAGACGGGUGAGUACCGCGUGGGAACAUACCCUUUCCUGCGGAAUAGCUCCGGGAAACUGGAAUUAAUACCGCAUACGCCCUACGGGGGAAAGAUUUAUCGGGGAAGGAUUGGCCCGCGUUGGAUUAGCGAGUUGGUGGGGUAAAGGCCUCCCAAGGCGACGAUCCAUAGCUGGUAUGAGAGGAUGAUCAGCCACAUUGGGGCUGAGACACCGCCCAAACUCCUACGGGAGGCAGCAGUGGGGGAUAUUGGACAAUGGGGGCAAGCCUGAUCCAGCCAGGCCGGGUGAGUGAUGAAGGCCGUAGGGUUGUAAAGCUCUUUCACCGAUGAAGAUAAUGACGGUAGUCGGAGAAGAAGCCCCGGCUAACUUCGUG
RNAcentral lists this ribosomal RNA (431 nucleotides) under uncultured bacterium. RNAcentral's name for it is "partial 16S ribosomal RNA". It matches the Rfam family "Bacterial small subunit ribosomal RNA", at positions 29 to 507 of the family's 1533-position model. The record is from RNAcentral.